UACGGGGGGUGCAAGCGUUACUCGGAAUCACUGGGCGUAAAGAGCGUGUAGGCGGCCUAAUAAGUUGGAAGUGAAAUCCUAUGGCUUAACCAUAGAACUGCUUCCAAAACUGUAAGGCUAGAAUAUGGGAGAGGUAGAUGGAAUUUCUGGUGUAGGGGUAAAAUCCGUAGAGAUCAGAAGGAAUACCGAUUGCGAAGGCGAUCUACUGGAACAUUAUUGACGCUGAGACGCGAAAGCGUGGGGAGCAAACAGG
Molecule: ribosomal RNA, 253 nt
Filed under: uncultured bacterium
Lineage: Bacteria
Description: partial 16S ribosomal RNA
Rfam family: Bacterial small subunit ribosomal RNA
Source: RNAcentral